RNAcentral lists this ribosomal RNA (216 nucleotides) under Johnbelkinia ulopus. RNAcentral's name for it is "partial 16S ribosomal RNA". The record is from RNAcentral. Lineage: Eukaryota; Metazoa; Arthropoda; Insecta; Diptera; Culicidae.
GAUCUUUAUUUUUAUAUAAUUAUAAAAAAAAAGAAAAUUUAAAUUUUAUAUUUAUAAAAAAAUUUUAUUGGGGUGGUAUUAAAAUUUAAUAAACUUUUAAAAUUUUUGACAUUAAUUUAUGAAUAAUUGAUCCAAUUUUAUUGAUUAAAAAUUUAAGUUACCUUAGGGAUAACAGCGUAAUUUUUUUUAAGAGUUCUUAUCGACAAAAAAGAUUGC